RNAcentral lists this ribosomal RNA (420 nucleotides) under uncultured bacterium. RNAcentral describes it as "bacterial SSU rRNA". It matches the Rfam family "Bacterial small subunit ribosomal RNA", at positions 28 to 480 of the family's 1533-position model. The record is from RNAcentral.
GACGAACGCUGGCGGCGUGCUUAACACAUGCGAGUCGAGCGGUAAGGCCCUUUCGGGGGUACACGAGCGGCGAACGGGUGAGUAACACGUGGGAACCUUCCUAGGGGUACGGAACAACUCAGGGAAACUUGAGCUAAUACCGUAUACGUCCGUAAGGAGAAAGAUUCAUCGCCCCUAGACGGGCCCGCGUCGGAUUAGCUAGUUGGUGGGGGUAACGGCCUACCAAGGCGACGAUCCGUAGCUGAUCUGAGGGGGANNAUCAGCCACACUGGGACUGAGACACGGCCCAGACUCCUACGGGAGGCAGCAGUGGGGAAUCUUGGACAAUGGGCGGCAAGCCUGAUCCAGCCAUGCCGCGUGAGUGAAGAAGGCCUUAGGUUGUAGAGCUCUUUUACCUAGGGACGAAUAAUGGCGGUACCU